GGACGAACGCUGGCGGCGUGCCUAAUACAUGCAAGUCGAACGGUCUUUCUAUGGAAGCUUGCUCCACUGAGAAGAUAGUGGCGAACGGGUGAGUAACACGUGGGUAACCUGCCCAUAAGAGGGGGGAUAACAUCCGGAAACGGGUGCUAAUACCGCAUAGUUUUCUUGAUCGCAUGAUCGGGAAAGGAAAGACGGCCUUUGUGCUGUCGCUUAUGGAUGGACCCGCGGCGUAUUAGUUAGUUGGUGAGGUAACGGCUCACCAAGACGAUGAUACGUAGCCGACCUGAGAGGGUGAUCGGCCACAUUGGGACUGAGACACGGCCCAAACUCCUACGGGAGGCAGCAGUAGGGAAUCUUCCGCAAUGGACGAAAGUCUGACGGAGCAACGCCGCGUGGGUGAAGAAAGGUUUUCGGAUCGUAAAACUCUGUUGUCAGAGAAGAACAAGUUGGAGAGUAACUGCUCCAGCCUUGACGGUAUCUGACCAGAAAGCCACGGCUAACUACGUGCCAGCAGCGGC
This 518-nucleotide ribosomal RNA is filed under the name uncultured bacterium. RNAcentral's name for it is "bacterial SSU rRNA". It matches the Rfam family "Bacterial small subunit ribosomal RNA", at positions 27 to 518 of the family's 1533-position model. The record is from RNAcentral.